UGGCGGACGGGUGAGUAAUGUCUGGGAAACUGCCUGAGUGAGGGGGAUAACUACUGGAAACGGUAGCUAAUACCGCAUAACGUCGCAAGACCAAANAGGGGGACCUUCGGGCCUCUUGCCAUCGGAUGUGCCCAGAUGGGAUUAGCUAGUAGGUGGGGUAACGGCUCACCUAGGCGACGAUCCCUAGCUGGUCUGAGAGGAUGACCAGCCACACUGGAACUGAGACACGGUCCAGACUCCUACGGGAGGCAGCAU
RNAcentral lists this ribosomal RNA (255 nucleotides) under uncultured bacterium. Its description in RNAcentral is "partial 16S ribosomal RNA". It matches the Rfam family "Bacterial small subunit ribosomal RNA", at positions 96 to 353 of the family's 1533-position model. The record is from RNAcentral.